Triticum aestivum (bread wheat) is the source of this 6236-nucleotide RNA transcript. It is a transcript of the gene named protein RETARDED ROOT GROWTH, mitochondrial, with no coding region annotated. Lineage: Eukaryota; Viridiplantae; Streptophyta; Magnoliopsida; Poales; Poaceae. The transcript has 4 exons. The record is from RefSeq and is a predicted model, not a curated record.
UUGUCUGACACCUAGAUCAACGGUGCAGAUCAAAUGUUCUGCCCGAGCGGACGCCGUAGUCUGCCAACCGUCCUAGCGCACCGCGUCCCCAGAUCCCCGUGGCUUUCGGAUCGAUUCCAUCCUAAGCGCUGCACCUAUGGUGCCCAUCCACCCAGCCUAUCGCCUCAACGCGAGCCCAGCGCCGCCGCACUCUCGGUCCCUCUCUCCGCCUCGCGGCCGCCGUCCUCGACGUAUCGAUCGUCCGUGUAUUUUUUGGUAGCAGAGGAAAAAGAGGAGUUCCGCACAGGGCCUCUCCCAUAGCUUUGCUGCUCGCGUCAUGGCACGACACCCAGUCGCUUCAAGCCUUCAACCAAUGGGGCGGCUGCGCGCGUGCCGCCACCAUCGAGGUCCACUUCGGCGAGCCUGCCGCGCCUCCCCGCCCGCGUGUCUACUUUUUCCUCGGUCAUGGCGGUCGCUGCAACCGCUCCCGAUGACGCCCGCGAUUCUAGCCUCGGAAGCUCAGUCUUCUGGGCCUGGAUCCGGGCGGCGGUAGAGGCGGCCCCGGCUCCCGCGCCUCCGCAGGACGAGGAAGAAGGCCUCCACAGGAGGAGGAUCCCCGUCGGGGCCUACUUCCUCUUCAUCAGGUAAGUUAGAAUGCGCAGGUGGUUGUACGCUGGGUGUUUGAUGAUAGUUCUGCAAGGAAGACCUUGCGUGCUACACUGCUACUAUGUUUUUUCAAUCUCUCAUCUAACAUUAUUGUGGGAGGCCACAGUGAUUUGGUGACGAGGAAUGAAAAACGACCUUUGUUUGAUUUUCUUUAUCCAAUCUUUUACAUCACCUAAGCGACGUGGUAAAUCCAUCCACUUGGUCGGUAAACUACACUGCGCUCUGCUACCCUGAAUUCCUCCAGAGAUCAUGGUAACUGAUUUCAGUGUAGCACCACAUAUUUUGCGGGCCAACAAUUAUAUUGAUGUUUGAUCGUUUGUUGAACAUGCUGUAUGUACAUUAUAUAACCUCAUUUAUCUCACGUUUUUGUUGGGCAUUGGGGUGCAGAACAACAGAUUUUGCUAUCACAGUGUGGUUGUCUUCCAAUAUGGUUCUUCUGGGCUGUUCAAUAUUGGUGAUCAUGAAUCUGAGUAGUACCUUUAUAUGAUCAGGAACAUGCUUCGGGAUGGCUUCCGGAGAUGAGGAAAUAUGAUUAUGCGGUAGUUGAUAAGCCAUCCCUGACAACAUGGAUGAAAGGAGGUCUUGAUUAUAUAGUUCUUAAAAGUUUAGAUAUCGAUGGAAUUUGGAUCAUUUCAAGUGUUCCUGGUCAAAGCAUCGCUCUUGCUCAUUACAUACAGCAGGUCGAUGAUAUGGUUGAGGAAUUUACUGAAAUCAAUCAUAUCAUGGAGAAGACUGGGGACUUCAUAAGGAAAAGAAAGAAGCUCUUUCAACUUAUGGACUUGGCUAAUUCUAAUCUUGCAGAUGUCAUCAUUAGACUUCACCUUUUUGACAGGUAUGUAAGUGUUGCACUCCCUCCUACAUAUUAUAUAUCAUGUACCAUAUAUUUUAGCAGUGUAUGUGCUGUCAUUUUCUGAAAAGAAGGAAUUUCAUUAUGCAGAAAACCCCAUGUACUGUGUUGUAUUACUGAAAAGAAGUCAUGUAACUGCCUAAAAAUUAAGAAGACAUAACUUGACAUCGUAGCCAGGUAGGACUAUAUGAUAUCAAUAGACCACUUUGAAACUCACAUGGUACUUUUCUCGGAAAAAAAACAGUAAUAUUUAUGCUGUUCAUUGAAAAAACUUCCCUGUGCCUUCAAGAAAGGUUGAUGUUUUGAUCUCCAGACAUACAAAACAUACAGUGCCACAACUCUGUAUGUUUUUAGUCUUUUUAUUUACUAGCAUUGUGUUUCGCUUCGAGUGUCAAAGAACCACAGAUGCACUAUGAGACUAUUACCCCAUGUCGCCUCCACCCACACCAGCAAACGCCGCCCGCCGCUGCCGUCGCAAGCAGGCGCUGCCCCGCCGUUUCCUCGCGCCUAAGAUUGAAGCAUCGCCAGCGCUGUUUCUUGGCGCACCGCAGAUGUGCAUCGACCCACAAUGUUUUUUUUUGUCACGCGCCGGAAAGUCGGAGACCCAGAAUGUGGAGCUCGACAGAUUACUCGAAAUCCUGGUUCUUGCCAUCUAUGUGCAGUUCCACCGUUUGUUAUGAACAGAGAACCGAGGUGAGUUGUGAUUUCUGUAUCUCGGGAGGGGAUUAGAAAAACUUUAGAGGAUAUACGAGACAGUGUGCAAGUAUACUGCCAUUAGCCUGAUUGAUAUGUUCCUCAUUGCACGUGCUCCAUUACAUGAACUGUAAAUCCAGCAAUGAUGUAGAAGAGAUAAAUAGUAAACGUACUUGCUUUCUAUUUGUAGAUGCUUUUGACUUUUAUAUAAGUUUCAUAAAAUAUUUUGUCCAUCAAACUCUAUGUUUCUUAUAUACAUGAAAAGGGAUAUGCAACUGUGGAGAGAAAGAAUGCAGUGAUAGCUGGAGAGUGGAGACAGUGGAAGAAGGUGGGAGCCACAUGUUCAUUGCAACGCUUUGCUACUUACCAUUUGCAUGUGGAGGACGCUCUGCAGUGUCGGGGCCCUGGUUCUAAAGCAAGUCGUGAGGCGUCUACUACCAAAACAAUCUGGUUCUUAUCGAGUAUUGCCUACUGAGACACCAUGUUGCUAGAUAAGUAUAAACACCAGGUUAUCUCUAAUCAUGUGUUGCAGCUUCUACCAUCCUCAUGUUUAGAUACUUAAUGCUGACAUGUGAACCAAAAAUCUAAGAUGAACACAAUUAUUAGUGGAUGAUACUUUGAUCAAUAAUUUCUAUGGCAUCAGUCAUGCACUAAUUUAGACAUAUUCUGUUUUUUCGAAAGCAAUUUAUCCCAAAAUUUUAGCUAGGCCGCAUUGCAUUUUUAUCCUGAAUCUCUAUCAUCGAAUGUUUUUUCAAAGAUUUAUUAAAUUUAUGGGACACAUUUGCUCCAUUUUAAUUCAUUUACCAUAUAUUAACCCACUUCAAUUAGCAACAAGUUCCCAAGCUGAAACUAUUGCGAUCUGGGCUGGUAUGUGACUGCCAUUUUCGCAUUAUUGAUAUUUUCACAAUGGAUACAUUAGAGCAUUGCAUUUUUAAAGUAAAGUUCCAGCAAUUAUUUUUUAGCAGAAAUACAAUGAUCUGUAUGCAAACAAUCUCCCUGUUUUAGUAAUGUUGUGGGACAUCAUAGAGCAAAUGACAUGUCACAUUCCCAGUAAAUGUGUCAAUCAUACUAAAUCGAUGGUUUCUAAUUUUGGAUAUUGAAAUAAUGAUAUUUUCUUGAUUAUAAUAUGAUAGUACUGAUUAACUCAUUUUCUGUUUCAAGCUAUCUUGACAUUUCUUAGCUAUUUUGAUGUUUUGCUUGGUAGAAAGUAUCAAUGUACUGCUUGAGAAGACGUAAGUGUGGGAGAUUGUGUUUUCAGAGAAUUGUGGUUUCAAAGUUAUUUGUAGAAGUAAUUUAUAUUUAUCUUAAGGUUACUAGGAUACAUUGUAUGAACCUUUCUUUUUUCAUUAUCAUAUAGGCCAAGAUGUUCUCCAUAUGCUGCAUCUGGAACGCCUACGACAAGAUUAACCAUGUGAAGACUCGGUUACAUGGUUUUAUUUUAAAUGAAGUUGUGUGUGUGAGGGAGUGAUAGCAAUAAAUUUGUGCGUGAACUAAUGACGUUGGUAAGAAUUUAGGUGUUUGUAAAAUGGGCGAUGAUAGGCGCCGCCAAAUUUCGGCCGGUCGACGCGCAGCCGUCUGAUUAGUCCACCCAGGGCCGUCUGAUCUCGCGAAAAACGCCCUAUAUCAAUAAAAAAAAGCUCUCCUACUCCAACUGACACGGGCGAUCUGCCGCCGUCAAUGUGCGUGUGCACUCCGGCGAGCGCGGCAGCGCCCCAGCGUCAGCCCUCCUCGCAGCAUCCCGCGCUCGUGGAAAAGCUCGUCAGCACCCUCGAUGGUCGUCGUCCGCACCGCUUAGCAACCCCCAAUCCUCCAAGCUCUUAUUCCCACGGGCAUGAAACAGCAGAAAUCACCAUGAAAAUAGGGAUGUAGCAAAUCUACAAACCGAUAGUAGCAAAAAUCCUAAACGGUGGUAACAAAAUGGUGCACUGGUUCCAGAAAAAACAAAAACAUGGUAGCAAAUUUUGGGUUGGUUUCCAGCAAAAAAACGACGAUGGUGGUAGCAAAGUGGUACAUAGGUUCCAGUAAAAAACUAAAAACCAUGGUAGCAAGGUGAUACAUAGGUUCCAGCAAAAAAACACCAUGGCAGCAAAAAAAUGGGCUAGUUCCAGCAAAACUUGAAGACGGUGGUAGCAGAAAUUGGGGUUUGUUCCAGCAAAAUGAAGAACUGUUUCCAGCAAAACUUGAAGACCGUGGUAGCAGAAAUUGGGGUUGGUUCCAACAAAAUGAAUAACUGUUUCCAGCAGACCGUGGUAGCAAAAAUUGGGGUUGGUUCCAGCACAAAGAAGAACUGGUUCCAGCAAAGAAUAACACCGUCUCCGCUUGCCGGUUCCAGCACUGCUUGUGCUGACUGCAGCACGGCCACGCGCCGGUUGUAGCUCCUCGCCGCGCCGGUAGCAGCACCACGGGGACGUAGUAGCAGCAGCGACGAGCGCCGGCUAGCAACGGCCACUGCACGCACGAAAUCCUCGUGGGCUACUGCUUGUGCAGCACCGGCCAAUACCCCGCUGACUGCUCGCCCAUGCAGCAAAGAUAGCAAUGGAGAAGGUCGCUACGGAGUAGAGGUUGGAUCGCAUGGGGAGCUCGUCGGAGGAGUAGCAGACGGGAUAUGUAGGAGAGGAUGGGAUCUGCAGCUUAGGAGAUGGGGGGCGAUGGAGAUGGCUAUUUUUGUUUCGUAUUGGAUGUGGAUGUGAGGGGAGCGGUGUGGAGAAAGAAGAGAAGAAAAAGAAAUGAGCUGGGAGCUGUGUGUGGAGGAGAAUGAGCGGUGUUGUGGAUGAGGCCGGGAGGAUUCUCGAAGCACACUUGGGCGUACCACAUACGCACGAUCCCCCUGAAUGGGACAGGUCGCGAGCGACCGGCGUGAGUUUGCGCCGGCAGACCGGAGAGAAAUGUUUCCCUUAAUACAUGAUUUUGUAGUUAGCUGGUUGUAACUAACAUCAUAUGCCCUUUUAAGGAUGAUCAAUACUCCCUCUGUUUCUAAAUAUUCGUCUUUCUAGAGAUUUCAACAAGUGACUAUAUAUGGCAAAAUGAAUGAAUCUAUACUCUAAAAUAUGUUGUCUAUAUACAUCUGUAUAUGAUAGUCCAAUUGAAAUCUUUAAAAAGAUAAAUAUUUAAGAACGGAGGGAGUAGAUUGUUAAUGCCAUCGAAAGAUAAAAUAUGCCAGGAAUGGUAAUGUUGUCGAUAAUAUUUCGGUUGACUGAAGCACGAGUGUGGUGGGACUCGGAAGGGAGGGAGCAAAUUGUUGCUGCACUUAGAGCGUCUAUGAUUCGACCCCCAUUACUUUGUCUCCAUUUGUUCGCACACAAUCUGGAUAGGAGAGAACGCGACCUUGGACGCGUCCCCUCUCCCGCUACAGUAGAGGCGACUUUUCUGGAACCCCCGAGCAGAUCCACCCCUCCGUCGUCGUUUCGCCGGGUCCCCUGCCCUCCGUCGGCCGCUGCGGCGGCGGGAGGGUGGGGGAGCUUUGUCUCGCGUGUGUGUACAGGGUAGGCUCUGUUGGGACCCUGGCCGGCGGCGUCUUGGAGUGGGCGGCGCGGCCGGUCUUCGUUUUGCAGGUGGUGCUCGUCCCCUCCGGCGGUGGAGUUCUUCUGAGCGCUACGGCGGAGCGCCUCCUCGUCCGCGCUCGCGGUCCCCGGUGGCCGAUGCGUGCGUUUAUCCCCCUCUGGAUCUCGACGCGGCGGAUCCAGUUGUCGACCCGGAAGCCCCUGAUGUUGGAUCAAGACGGCGUUACCAGCGGAGCAGAGUGGAGGCUCCCCGGAGUUCGAGGUCCGGCGACUACCCCGCCGCCUGGGGACAUCUCCCGAUCCAAGGUUCGUGUGGAGAUGCAGCGGCGGCCCGCCACCGGCACGUUCUUCUUCGCGUCGGCGACGUUGUUUUGCAGAAAGGACCUGUGUGUAAUUUCUAGCUUUCUGGCGUUCUUUUCUGUAAUUCUUGUUUCAAUAUAAUCAGUGGUUUCCUCAAAAAAAUCUGGAUAGGAGAGAAGAAUAUUUUGUCCCAAUUUGUUUCCACGGACAAUCCAGCAGGAAAAAAGGUCACCCAAUUAUUGGACCCCCUA